Molecule: ribosomal RNA, 478 nt
Filed under: uncultured bacterium
Lineage: Bacteria
Description: partial 16S ribosomal RNA
Rfam family: Bacterial small subunit ribosomal RNA
Source: RNAcentral
GACGAACGCUGGCGGCGUGCUUAACACAUGCAAGUCGAGCGAUGAAACUCCUUCGGGAGUGGAUUAGCGGCGGACGGGUGAGUAACACGUGGGUAACCUGCCUCAUAGAGGGGAAUAGCCUUUCGAAAGGAAGAUUAAUACCGCAUAAGAUUGUAGCUUCGCAUGAAGCAGCAAUUAAAGGAGUAAUCCGCUAUGAGAUGGACCCGCGUCGCAUUAGCUAGUUGGUGAGGUAACGGCUCACCAAGGCGACGAUGCGUAGCCGACCUGAGAGGGUGAUCGGCCACAUUGGGACUGAGACACGGCCCAGGCUCCUACGGGAGGCAGCAGUGGGGAAUAUUGCACAAUGGGGGAAACCCUGAUGCAGCAACGCCGCGUGAGUGAUGACGGUCUUCGGAUUGUAAAGCUCUGUCUUCAGGGACGAUAAUGACGGUACCUGAGGAGGAAGCCACGGCUAACUACGUGCCAGCAGCCGCAGUAA